This 483-nucleotide ribosomal RNA is filed under the name uncultured bacterium. Its description in RNAcentral is "partial 16S ribosomal RNA". It matches the Rfam family "Bacterial small subunit ribosomal RNA", at positions 28 to 507 of the family's 1533-position model. The record is from RNAcentral.
GACGAACGCUGGCGGCGUGCUUAACACAUGCAAGUCGAACGCUGAAGCUCAGCUUUUGUUGGGUGGAUGAGUGGCGAACGGGUGAGUAACACGUGAGUAACCUGCCUCCUUCUUUGGGAUAACGCCCGGAAACGGGUGCUAAUACUGGAUAUUCACUGGUCUUCGCAUGGGGGUUGGUGGAAAGGGUUUUUCUGGUGGGGGAUGGGCUCGCGGCCUAUCAGCUUGUUGGUGGGGUGAUGGCCUACCAAGGCUUUGACGGGUAGCCGGCCUGAGAGGGUGACCGGUCACAUUGGGACUGAGAUACGGCCCAGACUACUACGGGAGGCAGCAGUGGGGAAUAUUGCACAAUGGGCGCAAGCCUGAUGCAGCGACGCCGCGUGAGGGAUGGAGGCCUUCGGGUUGUGAACCUCUUUCGCUAAUGGUCAAGCCGCAACAAUGGUUGUGGUGAGGGUAGUGGGUAAAGAAGCGCCGGCUAACUACGUG